CCUACGGGGGGCUGCAGUGAGGAAUAUUGGUCAAUGGACGCAAGUCUGAACCAGCCAUGCCGCGUGCAGGAAGACGGCUCUAUGAGUUGUAAACUGCUUUUGUACGAGGGAAAAAGCAGAUACGUGUAUCUGUCUGAAAGUAGCGUACGAAUAAGGAGCGGCUAACUCCGUGCCAGCAGCCGCGGUAAUACGGAGGAUUCAAGCGUUAUCCGGAUUUAUUGGGUUUAAAGGGUGCGUAGGCGGUCGGAUAAGUUAGAGGUGAAAUCCCGAGGCUCAACUUCGGACUUGCCUCUGAUACUGUUCGGCUAGCGCGUAGUUGCGGUAGGCGGACUGU
Molecule: ribosomal RNA, 334 nt
Filed under: uncultured bacterium
Lineage: Bacteria
Description: partial 16S ribosomal RNA
Rfam family: Bacterial small subunit ribosomal RNA
Source: RNAcentral